RNAcentral lists this ribosomal RNA (406 nucleotides) under uncultured bacterium. Its description in RNAcentral is "partial 16S ribosomal RNA". It matches the Rfam family "Bacterial small subunit ribosomal RNA", at positions 30 to 526 of the family's 1533-position model. The record is from RNAcentral.
AUUGAACGCUGGCGGCAGGCUUAACACAUGCAAGUCGAACGAGUGGCGGACGGGUGAGUAAUGUCUGGGAAACUGCCCGAUGGAGGGGGAUAACUACUGGAAACGGUAGCUAAUACCGCAUACCAUCGGAUGUGCCCAGAGGGGAUUAGCUAGUGGGUGGGGUAACGGCUCACCCAGGCGACCAUCCCUAGCUGGUCUGAGAGGAUGACCGGCCACACGGGAACUGAGACACGGUCCAGACUCCUACGGGAGGCAGCAGUGGGGAAUAUUGCACAAUGGGCGCAAGCCUGAUGCAGCCAUGCCGCGUGUAUGAAGAAGGCCUUCGGGUUGUAAAGUACUUUCAGCGAGGAGGCGUUACUCGCAGAAGAAGCACCGGCUAACUCCGUGCCAGCAGCCGCGGUAAUUC